Molecule: non-coding RNA, 22 nt
Filed under: Rattus norvegicus (Norway rat)
Lineage: Eukaryota; Metazoa; Chordata; Mammalia; Rodentia; Muridae
Source: RNAcentral
GUCAUAUGGUGAUAAUGGUCCC